GCCAGUAUGGUGGAUAUAACCCUCGGCUUGUAACCGAGUGGGUUCGGGUUCGAAUCCCGGGUAAGGCA
RNAcentral lists this transfer RNA (68 nucleotides) under Trichonephila clavipes. It matches the Rfam family "tRNA". From Rfam's summary of the family: Transfer RNA (tRNA) molecules are approximately 80 nucleotides in length. Lineage: Eukaryota; Metazoa; Arthropoda; Arachnida; Araneae; Nephilidae. The record is from Rfam by way of RNAcentral.